UCGAGACCGAAACUAUAUCGAGCGAUUCGGAGAACCCGUUAAAUAAGCGGCGGCGGCCGUCGCCGCGAGACGGCCGUCCCCCCCCUCCCCCCCUCUUGUUGAGGGGGGGCCCGCCGGGGGGGGCCGGUAAAACCCCAAACCGGCGGAGAGGGGCCACAAUGUCCCCCUAAAAACACGAGACCCUCGCCUGGUGUUUUUGGGGGGGGGAGGGGUGUUAGCGCACCGCACGUAUUGACACGACUCUCGACAAUGGAUAUCUCGGCUCUCGCAUCGAUGAAGAGCGCAGCGAAAUGCGAUACGUGGUGCGAAUUGCAGAAUCCCGCGAACCAUCGAGUCUUUGAACGCAAGUUGCGCCCGAGGCCAAUCGGUCGAGGGCACGUCCGCCUGGGCGUCAACCGCCGCGUCGCUCCGUGCCAAGUCCCAGCCGUUCCCACCGCAGUGGGGGUGCCGGGCGAGGCUCGGAUGUGCAGAGUGGCCCGUCGUGCCCACCGGUGCGGCGGGCUGAAGAGCGGGUUAUCUUCUCAUUGGCCACGAACAACGAGGGGUGGAUGAAAAGCUGCCGCGGGCGAGGCCCGCGUUGUCUCGUGCCGGCCCGAGUGAAGGUUACACCCCACGUGCGAUCCCAUCCCACGCGCCG
RNAcentral lists this ribosomal RNA (637 nucleotides) under Holcoglossum pumilum. Its description in RNAcentral is "eukaryotic LSU rRNA". The stretch from base 239 to 394 matches the Rfam family "5.8S ribosomal RNA". Lineage: Eukaryota; Viridiplantae; Streptophyta; Magnoliopsida; Asparagales; Orchidaceae. The record is from RNAcentral.